RNAcentral lists this ribosomal RNA (413 nucleotides) under uncultured bacterium. RNAcentral's name for it is "partial 16S ribosomal RNA". It matches the Rfam family "Bacterial small subunit ribosomal RNA", at positions 355 to 755 of the family's 1533-position model. The record is from RNAcentral.
UGGGGAAUUUUGGACAAUGGGGGAAACCCUGAUCCAGCCAUCCCGCGUGUGCGAUGAAGGCCUUCGGGUUGUAAAGCACUUUUGGCAGGAAAGAAACGUCGCGGGUUAAUACCCCGCGAAACUGACGGUACCUGCAGAAUAAGCACCGGCUAACUACGUGCCAGCAGCCGCGGUAAUACGUAGGGUGCAAGCGUUAAUCGGAAUUACUGGGCGUAAAGCGUGCGCAGGCGGUUCGGAAAGAAAGAUGUGAAAUCCCAGAGCUUAACUUUGGAACUGCAUUUUUAACUACCGGGCUAGAGUGUGUCGGAGGGAGGUGGAAUUCCGCGUGUAGCAGUGAAAUGCGUUGAUGAGUGCAGGGAAGGAACACCGAUGGCGAAGGCAGCCUCCUGGGAUAACACUGACGCUCAUGCACG